UACAGAGGUCCCGAGCGUUAUUCGGAUUCACUGGGCGUAAAGGGUGCGUAGGUGGUGAGGUAAGUCGGAUGUGAAAGCUCGGAGCUCAACUCCGAAACGGCAUUGGAAACUACCUUGCUCGAGGGUUGGAGGGGGGACUGGAAUACUUGGUGUAGCAGUGAAAUGCGUAGAUAUCAAGUGGAACACCAGUGGCGAAGGCGAGUCCCUGGACAACUCCUGACACUGAGGAACGAAAGCUAGGGGAGCGAAUGGG
This 253-nucleotide ribosomal RNA is filed under the name uncultured bacterium. Its description in RNAcentral is "partial 16S ribosomal RNA". It matches the Rfam family "Bacterial small subunit ribosomal RNA", at positions 524 to 776 of the family's 1533-position model. The record is from RNAcentral.